This 17-nucleotide transfer RNA is filed under the name Umbra pygmaea (eastern mudminnow). RNAcentral's name for it is "partial tRNA-Glu". RNAcentral also lists the same sequence under 1 other name. Lineage: Eukaryota; Metazoa; Chordata; Actinopteri; Esociformes; Umbridae. The record is from RNAcentral.
UAGGUUCUCAUAGUUGA